AUACGGAGGGAGCAAGCGUUAUUCGGAAUCACUGGGCGUAAAGGACGCGUAGGCGGGUUGGUAAGUCAGGUGUGAAAUCCUACAGCUUAACUGUAGAACUGCACUUGAAACUACCAACCUAGAGUAUGGGAGGGGGAGAUGGAAUUAGUGGUGUAGGGGUAAAAUCCGUAGAUAUCACUAGGAAUACCGAAAGCGAAGGCGAUCUGCUGGGACAUUACUGACGCUGAGGCGUGAAAGCGUGGGGAGCAAACAGGAUUAGAUACCCCAGUAGUCC
This 274-nucleotide ribosomal RNA is filed under the name uncultured bacterium. RNAcentral describes it as "partial 16S ribosomal RNA". It matches the Rfam family "Bacterial small subunit ribosomal RNA", at positions 523 to 796 of the family's 1533-position model. The record is from RNAcentral.